Molecule: long non-coding RNA, 2275 nt
Filed under: Malus domestica (apple)
Lineage: Eukaryota; Viridiplantae; Streptophyta; Magnoliopsida; Rosales; Rosaceae
Description: long non-coding RNA (MDOM_LNC012332)
Source: RNAcentral
GACCUGACGACGUGUAGUCAUCCCUGGUGAUGUAGAUGUCGUCCCCGAUGACUAGAUCUGAGUGAUUUUGGUGGAUGGGAGGUAGUUGGAGAAAAGGGAGGUUGUUGGGAGGCUCGGCUCAGGAGGGAGAAGAGGGGUGGGGAGGGGUUUGAAAAAUGUUUGGAUGUGCUUUUAAAAAUGCUGAAAGUGCUUUUAGAGAAAAUAUUUUUGGGUUCCAAAGGCACUUUAAAUGCUUUUUGCGAGAAGCACCAGUUAUAUGUUUCUUCCAAGAAGCACUUUAAGUGCUUUUCUAGGAUUUACUUGCAUUUUUACUAAGGAUUGGUUCCAAAAAUAUUUUCACCAAAAACGCUUUCAGUUAUUUUAAAAGCACAUUUAAACGAGCUCUACUUCACUCGCUAUUUAGUGUUUUGAAUUUUGGUGGAGGAUUUUCUCCCUUAUAUUUGAACGUUUAUGGUUAAGUUACGUAAAUAUUUUUAUAUUGAUUUUUUUAAUAGUGACAAAAAGAUAAAAAAAUAAAAUGUGAGAGGAGGGGAGGGAAAAGAAUUAUACUCCUUGAAUUUAAUGUUAAACCCGUGGAGAAAUUUUUUUGGACGAGGGUAAAAUUUUAUUACCAACAAAAUAAGAGAAAAUUGUAGUAAUGGUCCUUACUUUAAGCGUUGAUCUCUCAACUAAAAAUUUGUGACCAUUGAUCUCUUAAUUUAUCAAAACGUGCAGUCAUGGUCCUUUUCAUCAACUCCAUCAGAACUUUCGUUAAAAUGAAUCAUGGUGCAAGAACUAUUGCUACAGUUGGAGUUAAAGUUGACAGAUCAUUUCUUUAAUUAGAUUAAAAUUGAGAGAUCAUUUCCCUCUUUCAGAAAAAACUUAUUUUACCAUUAAAAACUUUCACCGCAUUGCGCCAUUGGGGAUUAGGGUCUUGUCCUUAUUUAUUAUCUUCUUGAUUCGAACUCUCUAUCUUACGCUCUAUUUUAUAAUAUAAAUUAAAAUAGUAAGAUCAUUUGUAUUUUUAAAAUUCAACCGUUGCUGUUGAUGCUUAUCAAACUGGCCAUGUGCCUAAGUAAAAAAGUGGUUUCAAUUGAAAAAUUCUUGCGUAGGAGCUUCCGUUGAUGUUCUAGGGGGACCUCCUGCUCUCUAUUAUAACAAUAUGGGUUUAUGUGCGACUUGAAUGUAGGGGUCCUUUCGUAUGUGUCUUGUACGGAUAAGUAGUGUGACCGGAAAGCCUCUGCCAUAAAAAGGUGUUUACCAUCACCAUCGAGUUGCUGUUUAAUAUCUAAUAUAAGGUUACGUAGAGAGCGUCUUACAAAUAAUUUUGGUAUUAUUGGUCUCAAAACACUAUGAUAGUUGUAAGUUCAUCCUAACUAAGGACUCAUUUAAUAACUAUUUCAGUUUUUUUUUUAAUGAUUGAAAUAAGGGGGAAUGUAAAUGAGAAAUGAAAAAGAGUAUGGAGUUUGGUGCGUACACUAUAAAUAAACCAAAAACCAUUUAAGUAGUUUUCACUUUUGAGUUAUUGUUGUCAUUCCUUCUUCCUUAUUAUUGGAGCUCUAAAGCAAAAGAGGUAUGACACACUCCGACUUAAAUCAGAGCAUGCUGGCCGUCAUGUGAGAGUGAUGUAACCAUGUGCACAGUGUAGAAGCAAUAGAGAUAUAAGGAAUUACGAAUAAACAAAAAUCAAAUCAACUAGAGUACUAGCUAAGAUAAUGUGCAAGUGCGAGAUUAAGUGUGAAAUACACAACUAGAGCAUAAAUAUUCUAAGUGCAGUCAAGCAGGACAAGUAUUAAUUAUACAACACCCGAGGGUGAUAUGUUCUGUCAGAACCCCCGUCAGAAUCCUCGUGAUCCACCAAGCACUUCUACUUAAAACCUGGAGGGGCGCACAACAGAAAGUGUAAGUGGGCAAAAACAAAGCUUUUCAAAAUCAUUCAUUUCUCAAAAAUUCUAACCCCUUGCCGUAAAACCCAUACAGUUUUCCUAGAAAAAUAGAACAUAUAUACAUAUCUCAAAACCAUGCUCAGAAAACGAUAUUCAUAAGUAUGCCAUGCCAAAGUAUCUCAAUGCAAUGCUAUAGGUAAACCAGGCAAAAUAUAUAAAUAUCAAAUAUCGCAUCAGCCAAAUCUCUCUAACUCAAACUACACUACUGAGUAUAUAGCUCAUAACCAAUCUCAAUCAUAUCAAAUCAAAUCAAAUCCUGCACACGAGUAGGAACCACCUCAAGUGGCAUGUACGACAAGACUAGGUGUAAAGUAAAUAUGCUCUAGUGCUACGAUCACGUGAAGGCUGUG